UGUUGAUGAUGAUUCCAAGUCAUA
RNAcentral lists this small nuclear RNA (24 nucleotides) under Arabidopsis thaliana (thale cress). RNAcentral describes it as "snRNA_14749". The record is from RNAcentral. Lineage: Eukaryota; Viridiplantae; Streptophyta; Magnoliopsida; Brassicales; Brassicaceae.